This is a long non-coding RNA of Lolium perenne, 1714 nucleotides long. RefSeq lists it as uncharacterized. The record is from RefSeq and is a predicted model, not a curated record. NCBI's taxonomy places the organism in Eukaryota, Viridiplantae, Streptophyta, Magnoliopsida, Poales, Poaceae.
GAACCCCCUAAUAGAAUUGCUUGUUGUUUUUAUUUUAUGCAUCAUCAUGGCAUAUGCAUCAUAUCAUCCAUGUUUUAUUUAACCAAAUAAAAUUAUUUUAUAAACUCUUAUUAUUUUAUUUUCCCUCUCAUAUGGUUUCUAUAAUAAACCAUUCUCUUUGUCUUUUCUUUUAAAAUAAAACCCUAACCUAUCUAGCCUAGCAGCCCAUCUUUCCUUUCUCCCAUGGGCUCCUCUUCUCUCCCUCUUCUUUCUCCCUGGUGGCCCGAGCCAGCCCAAGCCCACCUCAUCAUUCAGUCGUACCCCUUCGAGCUAAGAGGCUUGGCUUCGUUGUCUUCUUCUCCAAAAUGAGCACGCACAUGGCGUGAACCUCCUGUGGUCCUCCCCCUCUCAACUACCACCACGCCACCACCUCCCCUCCCCUUUUAUUUCCGCAUCCCACACACUCCUGGAAACCCUAGCCCUUCUCCCACCCUCGCGCCGCCAUCUUCCUCCUCUUCUUUCCAUCUUACUCCUCUCUCUGUGAACAAAACGAAGGGGAAAAACCACAGUACCUCCUCCACCCACCAUGGCACCACCGCUACACACCACCCCUCGCCGUUCUGAGGGCACCGGGAGAUGCGCCUCGUUCUCCUCUUCAACCUGGUGUAAGGAAUCGAGCCGGGAGCCCUCUAAUCAAGCGCACGGUCGCCGAUUCUCCGCGUCGGUCGGUGUGCUUCUUCUUCGAUUCCGGCCGCCCUCAUCCUCCUCCGGCCAAACCGAGGACACCUCCGGCUUCCUCGAAUCAAGUCGCAUCUUCGAAGCCCUCGCCCUCGUCCUGGUUCGCCCCCAGUCGUCUUCCCCGUGUCCGACCUGAUCUCUAUUCGCCAUGGCCGUCAUGGCCGAGCUCCGCCUCUCUCUGCUUCUAGUUGUCGGGCGACCCACCAACAUCACCAUCUGACGAGCAGCGAAGUGAUCUCAGGCAGCUAUUCUUCAACUUAAGCGGGGCUUUGCAAAAUCAAAAGCAGCAGUCAGCCCAGUUGAUCCAUACAUGGGCCUUGGCCCAGACCCACUGGCGCAUCCAUCGCCCACUUGGCCCAAGCGCCGAUUGCAGCCAGAAGUGGGCCGGCCCACACGCGCCAGCCUUCAUCCCGCCCGCCAGGUAGCAGGCCUCCUCACAGAUCCAGCCCAAACUCUUUCUCUGCCUUUUCAUGUAUUUUGCAAAUCUGUCUAUUUUAUAUCUUUCAAACUAUAACUCCAAAUAUAAAGUGUUAUAUAUGAAAAUUAAUCAGAAAAAUGUGCUGAACAUGAAUAUGCCAUCCAUACAUCUGUUUGCAUUUUGCAUCGUGUCGAGACGUGAUAGUUAUGCAUGUUCACCUAACAUAUAUGCGGAGUAUUUCGGAUACCGACUAUGGUUUUCCCCGCUCCGUUUAAUAUUGAAGUAGCGCACCCCUGCCAUGUUAUGCCGUGCUAAUCAACACUUAAAUUUGCCGGUAGAAAUGCAACUCCAACCUAAUUUGCUUGUCCGGGGUUCCGACUCCGAUUAAAUUGGAUAAGUGCAUCGCAUCAUAUCUGCCAUGUCAUGCAUAUCAUCUUGAGCAUGCCGACUUUUUAUCCGUAGUAGUAAGACUUGCAUGCGUUGUGUGUUCCAGCAUUUGCUUCUUCUCGGAUAGGAUCGCGAAGUGGUGAUGUGAGAUACGACGAGUUCUCCGACAAGUUCUUCUGCAGCUUUUCACAG